Molecule: long non-coding RNA, 407 nt
Organism: Dama dama (fallow deer)
Lineage: Eukaryota; Metazoa; Chordata; Mammalia; Artiodactyla; Cervidae
Exons: 3
Source: RefSeq, a predicted model, not a curated record
CACCGAUAGACUUGUAGUUACAUCUGGUCCUUAAAGCUGAGGGACCCAUAGAUAAUCUGCUUUGGAACUACCUUAACAAACGGUGGUAAGCUCCCUGAGAGCAGGGACCCCACAUUUCCUGUUGACACACCCUCCCAGCCCCUGGCAAGGGGAUCUGGAAAGAUCUCUGGAUGAAUUGGAACAAACAUGCACAAAGUAAAAGAAAGCAAAGCUGAUUUGGAGACACACAGGUAAUUUUCACAGAAUCACUUCCAAAGAUGAUGCUGUCUUAAUAUCGGAAAUGUUACUGAGACAUGUAGCUGAAGAUUCACCAGAACUAUGUAUGAGGAGCUCAGCACCUAACCCUGAAGUGUUGUUAUUAUUUCUCAUCCUCUUUUUUGCUGGAUUUUUUUUUUUUUUCCGUUAGA